GUGGGGAAUAUUGGACAAUGGGCGCAAGCCUGAUCCAGCCAUGCCGCGUGAGUGAUGAAGGCCCUAGGGUUGUAAAGCUCUUUCACCGGUGAAGAUAAUGACGGUAACCGGAGAAGAAGCCCCGGCUAACUUCGUGCCAGCAGCCGCGGUAAUACGAAGGGGGCUAGCGUUGUUCGGAAUUACUGGGCGUAAAGCGCACGUAGGCGGACAUUUAAGUCAGGGGUGAAAUCCCAGAGCUCAACUCUGGAACUGCCUUUGAUACUGGGGGUAUUGAGUAUGGAAGAGGUAAGUGGAAUUCCGAGUGUAGAGGUGAAAUUCGUAGAUAUUCGGAGGAACACCAGUGGCGAAGGCGGCUUACUGGUCCAUUACUGACGCUGAGGUGCGAAAGCGUGGGGAGCGAACAGGAUUAGAAACCCCGGUAGUCC
RNAcentral lists this ribosomal RNA (425 nucleotides) under uncultured bacterium. RNAcentral describes it as "partial 16S ribosomal RNA". It matches the Rfam family "Bacterial small subunit ribosomal RNA", at positions 354 to 796 of the family's 1533-position model. The record is from RNAcentral.